CACGGAGUUAGCCGAUCCUUAUUCCUACAGUACCGUCAAGACGCUACACGUAGCGUUGUUUCUUCCUGUAUAAAAGCAGUUUACAAUCCAUAGGACCGUCUUUCUGCACGCGGCAUGGCUGGUCCAGGCUUGCGCCCAUUGACCAAUAUUCCUCA
RNAcentral lists this ribosomal RNA (155 nucleotides) under uncultured bacterium. RNAcentral describes it as "partial 16S ribosomal RNA". The record is from RNAcentral.